Long non-coding RNA from Venturia canescens, 3319 nucleotides. RefSeq lists it as uncharacterized. Lineage: Eukaryota; Metazoa; Arthropoda; Insecta; Hymenoptera; Ichneumonidae. The transcript has 4 exons. The record is from RefSeq and is a predicted model, not a curated record.
AGGCCAUAAAUGUGGUAUUUAUAUUUGACAGAUUGUUAAACUCCUACUGGUUCGUCGAAAUUGUGUCGCCUGUGUGCUGUGUAUACGUUCGACUGAACGAUCAAGUAAAGUUUGUAAACACAAAGAGGGCGCCACGAGCGCGCAACCGAAAAUGGACGAUCGAGUAUUGUUCACCUAUACACGACUACACACGUCGACGUUCAACGAGUAACCGAGAAAACCGAACUGUGGCUGCAGAUAUGCUAUACGAUCCGAUGGUAUUGUAACGAUAAUUGUGAAAAUUGAAGAGUCUCGCUUGAGCCCGUGGAGUGAGUGAAGUUUUACGUCAGUGUAUACGUCUCGUGGUUCGAUAUGCUCGGACAGCUCGGCGAAACUUGUUUCUGUCGAUACUCUCCCAUUGUAGUUAUACCUCAUACACGUAUAUCUCACGUUUUAUACACGUAUAUAAAUUACAAGUAUAUAUGCAAUCGUAAUGGAGAAUCGGCGGAGAGAAAACUAUUCUCGAUCUCCACUGCGGAACGAUUGCUAUCAGACUUUGCUCUCUGUGUGUCGGCGUCCACACGAUGUACUCUGAUCACCGCUCCGCAGCACCUUCAAUUCUCCUUUUCUGUACGUCAAACUUUUUCAACUAUCCUCUCUAACUCGAGUCCACAUCGCGAUGAACCAAUUGAAAAAUAAUAAUCGCAAAUUAAAUACGAAAGUGAUCAUAAUAAUUGAGUUAAUAGUUACAAUGAUCGAGUUUUCAGUGAAAAUGAAAAACUUUCCAAUUUCCCAACGUCUCUCACCGAGCCACGAUUUAUAUUCGACGUUUAUUUCCGUCUCUUGAAAGAAAAUCGAAAAUCCACGAGCCUGUCUACGAUUUUUCCACGAGGCUUUUUUCAACGUGACUGAACACUGAUAUAAUAUAUGUCGUAAAAGAAGCCAAAGCGUAAACGGAAAAUCGAGCGUCGGUCGAGGGCUCCCUCACGAAAACUUGUCGGUCGAUGAUUACUUCGUCACAGCGAGGCUUCAUGAUGCUAUCGCGGGCGUUUUUUCUCCCACACCGGAGGAUCCGAAGCAUUUUCGUCACGCCACGAAAUGAUCUUUCGAUGAUGGAGAAUCGUCCACAGUUUCAAGAGGAAAAAAACACUCGAACAGCGCAAAAAAUGUCAUGCCAAGCGAAAACCUUUUGUCGUUAGAAGGCUAGAGGUUCGCAUCGUCCAAGAGGUGAACAAAAGGGCUCGUUUCCGAGUACAUUAUUAUCUCGGAGAAGGAGAACAGGGAAUGUGCGUUGAAUUUCAAGGAGCUUCGAAGCGAUCGUUAUGAUGUUGAUUAAUUGAAACGAGGAGACUGCGGAACUCUUUGAAUGCGGCAUCGUUUCGAUGUUGUAACAGAACCGUGCGAUUGAAAUUGGAUCUCCACCAGCAUUAAUACAGUGAAAAUUGAUACGUUUUCUGUGCAACUCCAUAUAAUGGAAGAACGAAUCGGUAGAAUAAAUUUUUGAAAAGCUGAUGGAUCGUGAAACGGACUGGGAUAUACAGGAUUAAACAACAAAGAAGUAUUUUUAAAAAAUGAUUUCUUGAGUCGUGGAGGAAAGCCGCGAGAUAAAAGCGAGCAUGGGAUAUUCCCUUAAAAACAGUGAUAAAAAACAGCUGGAUUUUUCAGCCCGUUACCUUGUUCAAAGCCCUUGAAAAACUCGGACAAAGCCGGGAGACUGUCGUGGUGCGCGCAGCGAUAUUCAUGCAGGGACGAGAGUGCGCAAGAGUUUUAGUUUCUGCAUCCCAAGGCAAACUCCACGCUUCUGGGUACGAACAAAAAGUUGUUGCAAAUUUCGGAAAUUGCAUCAACCGCAAAAGCUGAUUUAUUUAUUGUUACGUCUUCGUGGAAAAUGGCACGAAAAGCCCGUCGGUGUACAGAGCAGCGGCUGCGAAAUGCUAAUUUUUUUCCGAGUCCUUCGUUUUUUAUUAUUCCUCAUAUCUCUCCUCUCCAUUCUUGUCAGCCUGCGGUGCCAGCAAGUCCAAUCAAAUCCAAUUUCUUUUCGUUUUUCGAAAUGAAGCAUCCCCCGUGGCUGUGAAUCGUUUGACGCGUCAACCGUGAAAAAUCUACCGUUUGAUUAUGUUUCUCUGCGGUGACUCUACAGAAAAACUAUUGGCCUCGUAUGAAUAUACAUCGCGGUUGUGCUGAACCCUGCGCUAGAGUACAUUCAUAUUUAGGAGAUGAAACCUCCACUCGAGAUCGAUCUGCAUACGCACUCUCACACUUUUUAUUGGCUUACGACUGAAAAAAAGUAUCAGUGCUUUGGCAAAUAUGGCGCUGUCGACGAAUGGAACUUUUGCUAUUAUGGCAACUAUCUUCUGAAGAGGAUUUCAUGAAAAAAGCGAUUGCAGCAAUCCCUCCGGUCGAGCGCUCUUCGACUAUAAAAACCGAGCACUCAUUUUAUCGUGUAAAUAUUCAUCUUACUUUGCACGCACGAACGAACGAGGCUCCGAAUCAACGUGAGGAUUAAAGUUUUAGAGCAACCCAAUGUAAUGUGAAAGGAAAUAACGAAAUUGACGAUUUUUUGUGCACACGAAUCCUUCAAGCUUUUCAUGCACUUUUUUGAAGCUGAGGAGUCAAGAAAACUUUGUUACUUACUCAAGCUUUACACGUGUCGGAAAAUAAUGGGCCAAAGUACAACUGGUUCACGCGCCUUAGUCGGCCACUGGCUGAAAUAGGUCCUGAGCAUCUUUUAAGAAAUCUGUCAUCGGCUGCUAUUGCGAAUAACAUCGAUCAAAUCCUGCAAAAUAUUUUCCCGAAGAAAUUUCAGGCCGAUGCGGCCAGAGCUAUGCGCUCUUCAUGCUCACCGAUUUAUAAACAACUGAAACAACUUGACGCACUUCAAACGGAAGAAUAUUUUAAAUCUAGACUCCCACUUGUGCUUCUGACAAUCACCGUUCAAAUCAGACUCACCGGACUUGAAAAAAUUAGUAUUUAAUGUAAUUAUGAAUUGGAAGACAACAGUCCUGUAUGUAAGAGUCAAGAAGCCGACACUUUGGCACACAUGUUGGUCAGCUGCCCAGGCUUUGAGCCCAUUCGAAACCACUAUUUUGGGACUCCAGAUUUUCCAAACACGGUUGUAGAGUUGAGCAUCGAAAAUGCCCGAAAAUUGGCAUAUUUCAUUGUAGAGUCAUGCAAUUUAAGGGCUUUGCCCGAGCAGACUAAUAAUUAUAAGGCGACAUGAGAUGAGCAAUUUAUGCAAAAAAAUGUCACAAUCUGUUAUCUCAAUGUAUUGUAAAUAUAAACUAACUAAACUAACUACUUAACGAAUGUUCUUAUGAAAAUGAAAAGCGAACUAUUGGGA